AGUCCAUUCUCCUCCUCUCAAAAUGGAUACCAAGUCUUCUAGACCGCUCCCAAAUUCCUCGCCACCGACCCUCCCCUCUCUUUCCCAGUGACAGCCGGAUUUGAAUUGGGCGAGGAUCCAUCCCCACCUGAGCUCAGAGCUCCCGCAACCAUAGCCGCCCGUAGACAGAGCUCGGAGCUCCCGCAGCCAUGGCUGACCGUAGACAGAGCUCUGCCAUCUGGAUCUCGCGUCACCGCUCUCCUCUGCUGCCUCUCGGACUUCCCUCGCUCUGGAUCCAGUCCAGCAAGAGCCCAGCCUCGCCGCCAAGUCCAUCGCCGCUGCCUGCGUCCUAUGUCCCGACAGCAAGCGCCGCCGCAUCGGUCCCCCUGCUCGACUGGAUCGGCUCUCCUCCAGCAUGUGACCCAGGGUCGCAUGCAUGGUGGGAUGCGCCAGCCUGCCGUCCUGCCCCGCAGCCCGAGGCCCAUGAGGUGAGGCAGCCGCCCCUCCUCUCCUGACGAGGGAGCUGGAGAAGAAGCUGCGGGACCAAAGGCUGCUGCAGGAUGAGAUACUGUGCUGCUGCUGUGUUUGGUGGUUGAAGAAGGGGUGUGCUGGGAAGAGGACUUAGUGUUGAGAGUGCUCGAUCUAGAACAGGACAAGCUUGGGCUGCACCGGUGUGUUUGCUGUUGCUGAAUUUUUCCGGGGCAUUGCAGAUGCGGAGGAGUUUUUCUGGGGCGAUCUGCUUGUUCCCGGCCACGCUGGUGUCAACUACCUCGAGCCACUAUGACCACCCCCAACCACGCUCACCCCCCGAACAAAUUGUUUGUUGAUCAGCAAAGGGGGAUUCAAUUAAUUUUCAAUUGUAGAAGAAGGGAGAAGGAGGAUUCAAUUGAUUUUCCUCCUCAUGAUCAAAAGAAAAAAAAUAUCUUUGCCGUGAUGAUAGACGGGGUUCAUGUUAAUACACAGACUACUGGGAACAAUAAACAAUUCUAGAUGGAAAGCACCUGACUUGUGAAACCUAGCGCCGCCAGUUUCCCUGCCAUGUAUUGCCGUCACCGGAGGGGCCGACCGACGAAGCUUGGCUGGCUCCCGGGAUGGCGGCGGCGGGGCGCUUUUCGGGCUUGUGCGCGGCGCCGGUGAGCGCGGCGUUGGCCGUUGGAUUGAGCGUAGUUCCCCACGUGGGCUGCUGGAUCUGGCGGCGGCAGCUGCCUCGAUGGAGAUUGUGAUUGUUCGUAGUAGAAUGUAUGCACGACACAUGAAUCUUGGAUUCUAUAUUUUUUCCUUGAUGUUUGGGCUUCCUCGAACUUUUUGUAUAUUGCACACAACACAACACAUAAAUUCAUGGAUACUAAAUUUUUAAAUGAUUUGAAGUCAUGUUGUUUUCUAUUCUACUGUCAUUGGUUCAUCACUCUGAACCAAAAUCAAUUGUUGGAACUCUGGCAUAUAUUGGUCCUAAAGUUACGCUGAAGAAAGAAUAUGAUGCAAGCUAUGAUCCAUCCUAUUUGUGAUUUAAACGGUCUGCUGCAUACUCUGCCAUCUGCUGCAUAACUUAAUUCUGUUUGCUCGGCCAUAAAAACCUUACUUGCCAUGAGUGGUGAAUGGUCUUGAGGAGUAAUCAUUUAGAUACUGUAUGUUUUUUGCUCAAGCACUAAUAUUAUGUCUUUGAACAACCUAUGCAUGGAUGUGGGAUAACCCUUUCUGUGAUGUUGGUUGGUGCUUACCCUCUCGAGGAUCCAGAAGAUCCAAAAAAAGGAAAUUCAGGUAUGUUGCCAGUUGCUAAGUUUAUCAAUUCAAAAGUUGUAAGUUCUAGCCAAAAAAUAAAUACAGAGCUCAAAUUGCAGAAAGUAUUGAGUGUUCAGUACUGGAUUUUAGGCUAUGUUCAUAUCUCUAGAGUGCCGAGACCUUAUCUCAGGGAUGUUUUUUGGUAACACGAUCUCGACAUCGAUACCAUUAGAGAGAUAAUAUACGCCUUAUAAUCUUGUAAUUAUAUGUGGAGAAGUAGUUGUGGUGUUCCUUCCACCUUUAUGAAUUAGUCUGUGAAGAGGUGAAUAGUUAGGAGCCCCAUGGAGCCAAACAAAGAUUAUGUUCAGGCUACAGAUUAUAUUCAUACUACAGCUUGAGUCUGAAUUUGUGUCGAUACAUGAAAAUGUCAUGUGUUCCAAGAAAAGUAUGUUUAGAUGCAAAACCAAUUUUGGUGUGCAUUUCUUAUUUAUUCAUUUUUGAGUUGGAUGUGUGCAUUUCUAAUUAGAAGUAGAAGAAGAAAUAUGUGACAUGGACUUCCUAAGAUUACAUACACAUCUUUGAAUAGUAUAGUUAGAAAAAUAGUAAUAAAAUUCAAAAAUGUUACUUCUUUUGGCGACAAAUAUGCUGGAGUGUGAUAGCUGUGCGUAGGAUUUCGUGAAGGAAUAACAUAAAUGGUGGUCUGGACAAACGAAAAUUGACUAUUUUUUAAAGCUUCUUGGAGCAUUUAUUUUGUUUAAUUUUGUACAAAGCAUCACAAGUAUUUUUUUCUUCAUCAAAUUUUGCACACAACCAAAAAAAUGUAAUUUUGUUGGGGAGCAGGAUUGCACAUCUCACGGAAUAUAAAGAUAUCAAUAUGGUUAGACACGAGACCUACUCCUGCACAGUUCAAUCUCAACAUGCAUCUUGUUGUUCCGUGCAACGCACGGACAUCUUACUAGUAUGUGAUUAAUACCAUAGUUCACAUCGCCAUGUGACCAACACCCAAAGGGUUUACUAGAGUCAAUAAUCUAGUUCACAUCGCUAUGUGAUUAACACCCAAAGAGUACUAAGGUGUGAUCAUGUUUUGCUUGUAAGAGAAGUUUAGUCAAUGGGUCUGCCACAUUCAGAUCCAUCUGUAUUUUGCAAAUUUUCUA
This is a long non-coding RNA of Triticum aestivum (bread wheat), 2852 nucleotides long. RefSeq lists it as uncharacterized. The transcript is spliced from 3 exons. NCBI's taxonomy places the organism in Eukaryota, Viridiplantae, Streptophyta, Magnoliopsida, Poales, Poaceae. The record is from RefSeq and is a predicted model, not a curated record.